Molecule: RNA transcript, 7060 nt
Organism: Manis pentadactyla (Chinese pangolin)
Lineage: Eukaryota; Metazoa; Chordata; Mammalia; Pholidota; Manidae
Gene name: cullin-3-like
Exons: 6
Source: RefSeq, a predicted model, not a curated record
UAGUCCCAUGAGAUGGAAAUCUGUGAGGUGGAUACCAUGUAGGCUGUGCUGACCCAGGCAGGCAGCGGGCUCUGGGGAAGAUGUAUCGGGCAAGGAUUUGGGGCUUCUGCCUCAUCUGUCUCUGAUUAUGUGAUCUUGAGAGGAUCACCGCCCCUCUGAGUUUCAGAUUCUGUCUUUUGCUGGCAUUUAGUGAAACCUGAACUUGUCUUAAUAGUUCAGAAUUUCUACUUUUUCCAUAAUUAUCCAGCCUCUAUACUCGCUGUCUCCUAACACUAAUAUACUGGGUGUCACUUUAUGCUCAGGAAAGUGCCAAGUGUUUUAAAAGAUACAAUUAGUGGAAAAUGUAAUCUUUGCUCUGGAUGCAUUUAUAAUUUGGAGAGGGAGAAAACAAGCCUUAGGAAAACAAUUUAACACAUUUCACAUCUUACACUAACUGUUUCACAUGUGUUGGUCUUGUUGGCCCAAUUAUAUGCUCGAAAAAAAACAGCCACCCCAGAAUGGCAGUACACAUGCCCAAGGCUGAGAACCUCAGAGGAGGCUUCACGUUCUAGGGGUAACAGUCUUCACUACAGUGGUCCCUUCAGUUACUAAACAAGUAAGCAAACAAUAGCAAGCUUAGGAGAGGGGGGAUUCCAGAAUUUUUAUAACAUAUUGCCUGAAAUGCCCAGUUAUUAACAAAGAAAUAUGAGACACAUAAAGAAAUAGGAAAGUGUGACCCAUACCCAGGAAAAAGAGCUGGCAGCAGAAAUAGUCUGUGAGACGGACCAGAUGUUAGAUUUAACAAAGACUUCAAAGUAGCCAUUAUUAACAUGUUCAAAGAACUGAAGGAAACUAUGAUAAAAGAGGUAAAGGUGUGAUGUCAACAUCACAACAAAUAGAAACUAUCAAUAAAGAGCUAGAAAUUAUAAAUGAAAUGGAAAUUCUGGGGAUGAAAAGUACAAUCACUGAAAUGUAUCAUUUAUUAAAGGGGCUCAACACUAUCUCUGAACUGAGAGAAGAAGAAACAGCAAACUUGAAGAUAAUUCAGUAAAGAGUGUGCAAUCUGCAGAAGAGAGAGGAAAAAGAAUGAACAAACGUGAACAGAGCCUCAGAUUACAAAAGGUUGAAGAGUAACUUGGAAGUUACUCCUAAUUCCCUGUUCGGAGAGGCCAGCAGAUGCCACCCUGACCAAGUGAUCUAAGUGAACAUCAGCAGGAGCAGGACAGACGAAAGUCGCGCCUCAGCUGACAGCAGCAAUGAGAGGAACACAGCAAUACUUCCAUGAUAUUUCCACCCUAGAUACCCCGCCUGAUUCAUAUCAUGAGGAAACACAUGAAACCCAGAUGAUGGACAUUCUGUGCACUAACUUGCCUGUAAUCUUUAAGGAUACCAAGGUCAUGGAAGUCGAGAGAACUGUUCCUCACUGAAGGAGAUUAAAGGGCCUUGACAACUAAAUGCAGUGUGUGCUUCUGAACUAGAUCCUUUGGCUGGAAUCACUGACAAAACUUGAAUGAGUUCUGAGGUGGUAAUGGCCACUGCCAGGUUCCUGAUUUUAACAUUUAUAUUUUGGCAAUUGAACAUAAGUAAAUGCUUAUAAUUCUACCAGGUUCUCAGUAACUUUUUUUAUUUUCCUAUAAUUAAAAUUAUUGUAAAUGCCCUAUCAUUAAUUUCUCACUAUUGUUACUUUGAUAAGUUUUAAGAGUAAAACUUUAUACUUAUGAGAAUUUUAGGUAUUUCUUGUGAAUUGAAUUGGUGCUUUUUUUUUCUUUUUUUUCAUCUUACAUUUCCUCAUUUUUCUUUUUAAUCCAGAGGUAAGUCUAGUAUUGUUGGUGAGGCCCACGAGCUCCUCAUCUACUCUGUUUUCAUAGGCCAUAGGGUUUGAACCCUCUCCAUUCCUGUAUACGCUCCUGUAAUUUUUGUGAUUCUUUGAAAAUCUGAAUUUCUAAUCUUAACAUUUUUGUUUUCUUUCCUUUGGGAGUUAGUUGUGAUGAGAUCACCAAAAAUGCUUCCAUGUCAGUGUAUUUAGAUAAAUUUGUGGAUUGGUUUUGGGAACCCUGAAGAAGAACUCUGAAGUCACUGACUAAAAAAGGAGAAAAGAGAAUUACAUAAAAAUAAACAUUUGGAGUAACUGUAGCCUUUACUCUUUGGGGAUAUUUCCCUUUACUUUCCUGAAAACAAUAUUUUUGUGGCAAGUACUUCAGAAGAAAUUGCAACUAGAAUAAUUAACAGUGAUGUCUUCAUUCUUAAUUUUCUAAAGCUUUGUUUUAAAACUGUGGCUCUUUAAAUCACUGAUGUAUAGUAUUAAAAAAUAAACAUGAUACUCUUAAACUCAUCUCCUGCUUCUUAAUGAAGUGUUACUGUUUUAGCCACUCACUUCUUAUAAAAGAAAUAUACCUAGGGAAUGAAAAUAAAAAUGUUAAGUGAGAAAGAGAGAAGUAUAUAAAAGAAGGGAAAAGAAAAAUUGUGGAGAGGUUGUACCUCUAGUGGAAUCCUAGCUUUGUGUUUUGAAGACUACUAUUUAUAUAUUUGUGUUAAGUUCCUGACAAGUUGUAUAUAAAUUUGUUGCUUUAUUAAAACAGAGAAAGUUACAUUUUCAAAGACCCUUCUGCUGUUUUGUAAAGCAAACAAAAACAAAAAUCAGUCAUUUUUAAGUGUGUUUGUCAUGUUUUCUUCUAGUCGUCUAAGGUCUAAGUUGGGUUAGCACACAAUUUUUGCAAAGGGCCGGAUUGUAAAUAUUUUAGUCAUGUGGGCCAUACGGUAAACUACUCAUCUCUGCUGUAAUAGGAAGGAAAGUAGGCAUACACAAUAACACAAAUGAAUAAAUCUUCACUAUGUUCCUAUGAAACAUUAUUUGAUUUCUUCUUUCAACCACUUAAACAUGUGAAAACUAUUUUUAGUAUUUGAGCUGUACAAAAACAAGCAGUGGGCAUAGGUCCAUGGGCUGUAUAGUUGACCUCAGUCUAAGUGCUUGCUGGCAGACUAGGACUUUAUGAAAAGCCAUUUCCUCCAAUUAAAGAAUUAGAGAAUCAGUAAAUUUUCUAACAUACUUUUUAGUUAUUGAGUUAAUGUUCCCUUACAUACUUUAGAGAGCUGGGUGGGGAAAGAUUAAAUGGGUUGAAGAUUAGGAAACUAGGUAAUGUUUGAUGGAGAGGUUGUUGGGCAUGCCUGAAUUUACAGCAUCUCUGUAACCUGUAUGGAGACUUGUGCCAAAGGCACUGAGUUUGCCUAACACAUGGCAAGCACUUAGUAAGUGCAUAAAUGUAGAAAUAGCAGCAUAGCUACUUACUAUAGUUCUCUAUUUAGUACUAAAUAUUUUCAGCAACUAACCAGUUGCCUGUGAUUCUAAAUUAAAGUUUUAAAUCCUAGUUCCAGUUGUCCUAACUUUCCACUAGCAAUCUAAGUGCAAAAUGUCUUAGUUGUGCUGGGCCAUGCUCUUGAGCAGUGUGUCAAGGUAUUACUACCUAGUACUUUAUAGAAAAAAUCCUUGAUCUGGUAACCACUGUUCUAACUCACAUUUUCAAAAGUUCCUGAUUGUAAAACUUUUUUAUAUGAUUGUCAAGUUCUGACACUAUAGUCUCCCAGUAAGCUCUUACUUUAGAGAAACACUAGACAUAUAGAAAAGUAUUUUAACUCCAUAUUUUAAUCUUGUGAAAAAUUUAAAAACAUGGACAGAGUCCAGAGUUUUCAUUUUAAAUAAAAACAAUAUAGUGACAUAAACCAUUUUUUAAAACACAGAUGUUACUGGCUUAGGCCAUUACCUGGGAAAUAACUAGGAAUUGCUCUGAGGAACAUAUUAAAGAAUAGGAACUUAUGCUUUAAUUUAUAAUUUCAUAUAGACUUUACCAUGAUGUAUAAUGAAAUAAACCUUUGUAUAUUUUUAUUUGUUUGUUGUCCUGGUUGGUGUUUCAACUUGUGAGAUAGGAAUGUUGAAAAAUAUCUGUAAGAUUUUAAGUUGGUUUUUAAAUUCUUCCUUAUUAGGUUGACUACCAGUUGUACCAUAAUUAAAGUUGUCUUUUUGAUUGAUAUUUUGUAGAAUAACCAGGUUCUAGAUUAGAAUUAUAUAGGAUAAACUACAUAGAAACUCAAAACAGUUUUCAUUUAUUUGUGGCUUUAUUGUUUACAUUCUUUGGGCAUCAUCUUUUCCAUGUAAAGAAAUUUGUUAAUUAUAUUUUAAUAAUAUUUCAAAGCACUAAUCUGAAAGCUGCAUUUCAUGAGUUGAAAUAAUAAUCAUUAGCCCUGAUUUUCUUUCCCUUUCCAGUUUGGUGGAGGUUUUUUUUUCCUUUUAGUAGUUUUUCCUGUGCCAAGGCCUCUUCAAGUAUCACAGACCAGCAUGAUGAGAGAUUAACAUAUUUUUCCUAAUCUUUAAUGUAGCUGGUUUUUGUGUUUUCUGAUUACAGAACUUGCUUGCAUGUACAAGGUAUUUAGUCGUGUGCCCAAUGGUUUGAAGACCAUGUGUGAGUGUGUGAGCUCCUAUUUGAGGGAACAAGGUAAAGCCCUUGUUUCUGAGGAAGGAGAAGGAAAGAACCCCAUUGAUUAUAUUCAGGGCUUAUUGGAUCUAAAGAGUAGGUUUGAUCGCUUCCUCCAGGAAUCAUUUAACAAUGACCGGCUCUUUAAACAAACUAUUGCAGGUGACUUGGAGUAUUUUUGCAAGUGCAACUCCAGGUCCCCUGAAUACGUCUCAUUAUUUAUUGAUGAUAAGCUGAAAAAGGGAGUAAAAGGGCAAACAGAACAAGAAGUAGAAACAGUAUUGGGUAAGGCAAUGGUCCUUUUAAGGUUUAUGCAAGAAAAAGAUAUAUUUGAAUGUUAUUAUAAGCAACACUUGGCAAGGAGACUUCUCACAAAUAAAAGUGUUUCUGAUGACUGAAAAAAAUAUGAUAUCUAAGUGAAAGACUGAAUGUGGAUGUCAGUUCACAUCAAAACUGGAAGGAAUGUUUAGGGAUAUGAGCAUCUCAAGCAGAACUAUGGAUGAAUUCAGGCAACAUCUACAGACAACUGGGGUAUCUUUAGGUGGUGUUGACCUCACAGUCCGGGUGCUAAUGACAGGAUACUGGCCCACUCCGUCAGCCACACCGAAGUGCAACAUCCCACCAGCCCCAAGACAUGCUUUUGAGAUAUUCAGAAGUUUAGAUAUCAUUUACUCUGACAGGUCAGUGGCCUUCUGAAUUGCUCCCUGGAAAUAGCCUUAACACAGAUUCGUCAUAUGCAACAAUGUUUUGACAACAUGCCUGUCUCCAAUACUGGACUGUCUGUUCCUUAAGAAUGCGGUGUUACAUCUUCACGGCCAAAUAGUGCCUGCCUGGCCUUCACACCAAUGGUAUGCUGUUCAGUGGUUUCCCAUUUCAUUCAGAGUAAAAUCCCAAAUUCUUACCAAAGGGCCCACAUGACGUGAAGUCUGACCACUGCUCUAAACUCAUCUACUAUUUUUACCUUUAAUCACUUGGCUUCAGCCACACGGGUCUCAUUGGUAUUCCUCAACCACGCCAACCUUGCUUUUACUGUGUGGUCUGUGCACUUGUUUUUGUGGUCUGUGCACUUGUUAUCUUUUUAUCUGCCUGAACUACUUUUAAACCAGAUGUUGACAUUGCUUUUUUCUUACUUCCUUCUGUACAAAUGACAUCUUUGUAAUGGGUCUUCCCUGACCACCCAGUAUAAAAACUAAUUAACUAACCAACUUAACCACAAUAACACUUGCCCUGCUAACUCUCCUGGGGCUGUUUCAUUUUUUUUUCUCCCUACCACUUUUCAGCAUUCAACAGAAUAGACAUUAGUUACUAUUGUUUCUUCCUUUUAGUAGCAUAUGUUCUGCCUCUGAAAACAGGUAGGAGAUAAUUAUAUAGGUUGGCACUUGGGGGUUAAAGGCAGCUAAUUUCCAACACUGAAUCUUGUUACAGAUAAAAGCAAUUAUAACUAACCACUUCUAAGUCAUUUAACACUCAAAUACAGAUUCCUGGAAAGCGCAGUUUAAACUUAAAUUCUAAAGAAAUCGUAAGUACUCUUGAUUAAAUGCAACUUUCCUUGACACACUAAUACUCCUGGCCCCUUAGGUUUUACAGAGAUGAGGUGGUAUAUCCAUGCAUUCAUACAUGCAUUCUUUCAUUCAUUCCACAGGAAUCUAGUGAGUGCAUAGUGUGCUGUGGGCACUAUACAUGCUGAACAAGAAUAGAUGCAAUUCCUUCCCAUAAGUCUAGUAGGAGAGACUACUGAUCAAAUCAUCAUACAGAUAAACAAGAAAUUGAUGUUCUAAGAAGUACACUGAUGGUGAAAUAGGCCAUGACACCGAAGUAGGAAAGGUGUCCCUAAGAGAGUGACAUUCCAAGAGAUGAAUAAGAGAUAACUAGAUUGAAACAAAUCUGACAGCCACUCUCUAAGACAGCAAACACUGGCAGAAAACCAACUCAUGUGGAAUGAUCAUAAGUUUAAUGGUUUAGAUAUAUGGGGCAGGUUCUGAGCUAUAUUAGUUAGGGUGAAAAUUAGUGCUCAAAUGUUUUAAAAAGCAUAAUGUGUUAACAAAGAACAUCAUGCUUUGAAAGAGAAAAUACUAGAACAAGACAAAUAUAAGAUUUAGACUAUGAUGGUUGGAAAAAAAUCCAGUUAGAGGGUUGUAAUUUAAAUCAAUGAAAUUUGCAAGAAUAUGGAGCAACAAAAUAGACAAGGGAUAUAUGAGAAAAUAUCAGAAUGAAUUAGUCUAUAUACCAUAAAUAUAGUGUAAAGAAAAUGGAAGUGAGACACUUAUUAAAAAAAACUCUGGAAGACUUUCCCAGAGUUAAUAUAUUAUGAUACUCUUCUUCAAAUGCCUAACAUCUACUUCAGGACUAUUAGGAGGGAACUCUUCUCAAUUUUUGAUAUUUCUUUCUAGGCUAAGAAAAAUCCUUAAUGUUACUUAUUUAUGUCUUCUUCGUAUCUCUUCCUCUGCUCCGGAGGACAUGGAGUGAUUUACAUCAUCUAUAACUUUGUAAUGAUAAAAGUCGCCAAUAAGGUAGACUUGGGCUCUAGGAUGCUAAUGGAAUAGGCUGUCCCAGGGAAGUUCUGCUGAGUAGGUCCUUCUGAUUUUGGCUACAGAAUUAAGAAGCUGUUUGACUCU